RNAcentral lists this non-coding RNA (46 nucleotides) under Plasmodium falciparum 3D7. Lineage: Eukaryota; Apicomplexa; Aconoidasida; Haemosporida; Plasmodiidae. The record is from RNAcentral.
CCCUCGUCUUUCUUCCAUUUGAUUCAACGAAUGAUUCAAUGAUUGG